This 759-nucleotide ribosomal RNA is filed under the name Neotrifurcula gielisorum. Its description in RNAcentral is "eukaryotic LSU rRNA". The stretch from base 456 to 759 matches the Rfam family "Eukaryotic large subunit ribosomal RNA", at positions 665 to 931 of the family's 3401-position model. The record is from RNAcentral. Lineage: Eukaryota; Metazoa; Arthropoda; Insecta; Lepidoptera; Nepticulidae.
AACCUGCGNAACUCGAAUGACGAACGGGAGAUUCAUCGUCAUGCGGCGGGCGGCGUUCCGUCGCGCGAUGGACGGCCCUCCGGCGAUCUCGGUCGUCGGUGCGAGUCGCUCACGCGCGCGGUGACCGCAUCACGUCCGUCGACGGCGUGCACUUCUCCCUUAGUACUGCAUCGCGACCCGCUCGAUGUCGGUCUAAGCACCGCACGGGAGCCCUCGGCGUCUCUGUGCGCCGAGGACCGUUGUGGCUGCUGACCGGCUGUCUGGCGGUAGUGACAUGAACGCGCACGCGCUUGUCGCGUCCGGCCGACGCAAGGUCGCCGCCGACGCCGCCGUGUCACCUAGUGCGGCCGGUGUGCGUCCGGUGCCUGCCAAUCGCAGCCGUGCGUCUCGACGUGCGUGUAUCGAGUCUGCGAUGUUUUUGUUUCGGGCACUCGCAGGACCCGUCUUGAACACGGACCAAGGAGUUUAGCAUGUGUGCGAGUCACUAGGUCAUCUACUAACCGAAGGGCGUAACGAAAGUGAAGGCGUGCGCUUGUCGCGCGCUCGGGGAGGAUGGCGGUCGCACUAACGGUGCCGCCCGCACUCCCGAGGCGUCCCGUUCGAAUCUGUCGAUGUGGGCGCGCUCAGAGCACAGAUGCUGGACCCGAAAGAUGGUGAACUAUGCCUGGUCAGGUCGAAGUCAGGGGAAACCCUGAUGGAGGACCGUAGCGAUUCUGACGUGCAAAUCGAUCGUCGGAACUGGNUAUAGGGGRGAAWAMM